Molecule: ribosomal RNA, 445 nt
Filed under: uncultured bacterium
Lineage: Bacteria
Description: bacterial SSU rRNA
Rfam family: Bacterial small subunit ribosomal RNA
Source: RNAcentral
UAAGGAAUAUUGGACAAUGGAGGCAACUCUGAUCCAGCCAUGCCGCGUGAAGGAUGAAGGCGCUCAGCGUUGUAAACUUCUUUUGGAUGGGAACAAAACCCCCGAUGCGUCGGGGACUGAGGGUACCAUCAGAAUAAGCACCGGCUAACUCCGUGCCAGCAGCCGCGGUAAUACGGAGGGUGCAAGCGUUAUCCGGAAUCACUGGGUUUAAAGGGUGCGUAGGCGGUCUGGUAAGUCAGUCGUGAAAUUCCCCGGCUUAACCGGCGGGACUGCGAUUGAUACUGCCAUACUUGAAUCAGGUUGAGGUAGGCGGAAUGUGGCAUGUAGCGGUGAAAUGCUUAGAUAUGCCAUAGAACACCGAUUGCGAAGGCAGCUUGCUGGACCUGUAUUGACGCUGAGGCACGAAAGCGUGGGGAGCAAACAGGAUUAGAUACCCGUGUAGUCC